This is a long non-coding RNA of Solanum lycopersicum (tomato), 217 nucleotides long. RefSeq lists it as uncharacterized. The record is from RefSeq and is a predicted model, not a curated record. Lineage: Eukaryota; Viridiplantae; Streptophyta; Magnoliopsida; Solanales; Solanaceae.
UUUCUCUCUCAUUAAUUUCACUAUUCAAUUCUUCUUCAUCUUUCAACUCUCGCUUCUCUUUUUUCGUUCUUUUUCUUCAGAAAUUGGAAAAUAUUUAUAAAGAUAUUCACAACAAUCUCUUUGAUUAAGGAUUUGAAAACAAUCACUCUAUAAUGGUCGAAUCUAAGAGGAUUACAAGAGGACCCACUGCUAAAAUAACGGAAGAGAGACGAUCAAA